Argentina anserina (silverweed cinquefoil) is the source of this 378-nucleotide long non-coding RNA. RefSeq lists it as uncharacterized. The record is from RefSeq and is a predicted model, not a curated record. Lineage: Eukaryota; Viridiplantae; Streptophyta; Magnoliopsida; Rosales; Rosaceae. The transcript has 4 exons.
AGUCUUCUGGUGGCACUAUUUCUUGCCUCUUCCCUGAUAGAUUUCAGGAUGUGGUUGGUGCUUCCAACUCUUGAAGGGCAAGAGGGAGGAGAGUGGAUUGUCAUUGAUUUUGAAAGCUCAAUCUGUUGGAUAAAGUUGAUCGAGUACAGUAGUGUCACACCUGUGCCCGAAGCUGACACAGGUGGGUGUGUUGAUUUCGGGGAUAGGAGCCUAAUGAUCAACUAUAAACAAUGAUAUCUGCAAAGUCUGAUGCGGGGACACAUCAAUAAUGGGAGGUAAUUUCAUUUUUUUUUUGUAACACUGCUUUCAUGUGUUACAGUGUAUCAUCAGUUUAUUACAUUUUGGUAGAGGAAAUAUUGAUCUAGAAAGCUGGGGUGG